This 253-nucleotide ribosomal RNA is filed under the name uncultured bacterium. RNAcentral describes it as "partial 16S ribosomal RNA". It matches the Rfam family "Bacterial small subunit ribosomal RNA", at positions 524 to 776 of the family's 1533-position model. The record is from RNAcentral.
UACAGAGGGUGCCAGCGUUAAUCGGAAUUACUGGGCGUAAAGCGUGCGUAGGCGGUCGUGUAAGUCGGGUGUGAAAGCCCCGGGCUCAACCUGGGAAUUGCAUUCGAGACUGCACGGCUGGAGUGCGGAAGAGGGAAGCGGAAUUUCCGGUGUAGCGGUGAAAUGCGUAGAUAUCGGAAGGAACCUCAGUGGCGAAAGCGGCUUCCUGGUCCAGCACUGACGCUCAGGCAAGAAAGCGUGGGUAGCAAACAGG